AGCCCGCGCAUAGGAAACACCUACUCCCUACACGCUCCUUGAACUAGAUUUGAAAAAUUAUUAACAUUGAGAAGGGAAGAGUCAGAAGAUCGAUGGUGACUCGGUGAGACAUGUAUGAAACCUGACAUGGAAGUGUGGGUCACUCGGGUACUGUGGCACGAUGAAAUGUCCAGGCAGCAAACCGGGUGCCCAACUUCUUAAAAAGACACUUGUUCGUGGAGCGAUCGAGGUGCGGUGAGGUGUUCUGUCAAAGCGUCGGAGGGGAGAUUGUAUUUAGCGGACGAUAUUGUUUGAUGUGGUAAACAAUGAAAUUUUGGAUAACUCACCAGGAUGUCGCGUCUGAAGUUCGAUUUUAUAGCAAUACAUUAUCCUGAUGUUCUAAAAGUUAUGUUAAUGUUAAUAAGUGUAUUGCGAAUAUUAACGUGUUACAAGAUCACUGAGUAACGGAAAUAUUAGGAUACCAUAAAGAAAAUAUUAAAGGGAUGUAGCUGACGUUUGUCUCACACACACACACACACACACAGAGAGAGAGAGAGAGAGAGAGAGAGAGAGAGCCUGGCGCCACACUAUCUCAUAACGACCUGCUGGCCCUCCCCCUCCCACUCACCUGGCAGGGCGUCUUCCAAAGAUGUGGAAUAGUUGAAGCUCGUGCCCCAACACACACACACACACACACACACACAAGUCAAUCAAGCAGUCGGGAAAGCAAUCAUUACAUUAAUAAAUAAAUUGAAAACAAAUCAAUCAAACAAAAGGUAAACCACAAUAAAUAAGGAAAAUAAAAUGACAAGACAGCGACGGCAAGUAUUACCUAAACAAAGAUGGCGGGGCGGGCAAUGAAACAAUCGCUACGGAGGCCCGAUUCAGACGUGAUUUCCCGCGUGUCCCUAUGGCGGCCGGGGUACUCGCUGCUGUCAGGGUAGGUGGCGCCCUUCCUGGUGCUAUCGGCGGGUGUGGGCGGCGGAGAAAUUGGCGACAUAAGAUGAUGGUGAGAUGUAGCAGUGCCGUGGGUCAAUCAAGUGUCCUGCUUUCUCGCCUGCUAUUGGUCCAUUGCCACCAGGUGCAUGCCCAUGUGCGUGCAGGAGAGAGCAUCCAAUAGAUCCAAUAGAUCAACAUCCAAUGGAUGAAGGAGAGCAUUUCUGGCCUGGACAACCCCAGAAUAGUCACAGAUAAUCAGGAUAGUUGACUACUGGACCUGACUACUGACUCCAAGCUGCAUGUCCUCUAUGGCAGCACCAAAAUAGUCCAGCAUGCUCCAUCUUUCAAGACUACUACUGCCCUCAGAGGCCCAGCGGACCCUGAGAGGAGCGGGUACAAACCUGCUGGAGUGUCCCUUGAUCCUGACAUUGGUGGUGCUGUUGGAGUUGCCUAUCAAGCUGUCCCUGGCUGUCAACAUCUCACUGCUGUCUCUCUCCAAGCUGUGUCUCAAAAUUCUGAAGUUCCUUUGAUACCUUGAACACUUUGAAGGAAUUUUCAGGUAGUCACAGCCUGCCACUCACUAGUAUACCUGGAGGAAGGACUGGUAGGUGACCCACAGGAGAAGGCAACCCUGGCAAAAACAGAUUGGAUCCUGACAAAAGAAGAGAUAAUUGGUUGGCUCUGUGUGAUGAGCAAUGCUUUGUCUCUGAGGGCAACCCCCAGAGCCACACACCAGCAGCAGCAGGAAGAUGAGGAGGAAAGGACAUUCACUUCCUGCCUUAUCCAGUGUGACUGGGGCUUCUUCCAGCAGCUGGCCAGGGUGCAGAGACAGGCUGAGCAAGGUGGUAAUGGAGAGGGUGGCCAGCUUGCCCCUCCUGGCAGCCAACCAGAGCACAGUGGCAGCCAUGCUAUCUGUCACCAUCCACCAUCAUCUUUCAGAAGUGAGCGUACACCCCAGGGAGAUGCACAGCACACAGCCACAGCACAGGCAGGCCCCAGCACCAUCACCAUCAGCCUCCCACAGCUGGACACCACAGCUGCAGCACUGUGUAACACCUGUGGCAGCAGAGAAGAAACAUGUCACAAUGGAGAAGGAAAGGCUGCAGGAGGAACACAAGACAGUAGAGGAGUUAUUGUUGCAAAGAAUGUUAUCAGUGUUCUUCUGGCCAACUGUUAUCAAAUUGAACAGGUGGAGACUUGAGACACAGUGAACAACAAAUACAAAGAGAGUCUGGCCAAGGCAAAGCAAACCCAGGAGACCAAGAAGAAAUGAGAGGAGAGGAAGAGAUUGCCACUCUCAGAACCUGCUCAAGAGAACCUAGAACGAAGAACCAAUGCCCUCACCACCAGCAAGAAUGAAAUGCCCUAGGUCACCACCAACACCAGCAACAGCACCUCUGCAUCACCACACAUUAUCAAGGAGGAGGAGGAGCCAGACAGUAAACACACUGUUGUUCAUCUCAACAUUGCCAAGAAUAAGAAGAGGUUGAAGAACCUAAAGUGUUCCUUAACAAUGGAGGAAGCAGCGGUGUGGUAGUACCUCAGAGUCUGCUGUGCUGGGAGGAAGAGGGGAACAACAGCAGUAGUAGUAAAAGUGUUCAGCAGUGGUGGGGCUUUGCUGCUGUCACUGGUACAGCUGUUCACUCCUUCAGCUGUCUUGCCUCACCUGUAAUGAACAACUAUGAACACCUCUCCAGUGAUGAAGAAUGGUGAAUCUGCAUGAGCAAGAAUGAACAACACCUACUUCACUUCAUAUGAAUGCAAGUCUCUCUCUCUCUCGCUCUCUCUCUCUCUCUCUCUCUCUCUCUCUCUCUCUCUCUCUCUCUCUCUCUCUCUCUCUCUCUCUCUCUCUCUCUCUCUCUCUCUCUCUCUCUCUCUCUCUCUCUCUCUCUCUCUCUCUCUCUCUCUCUCUCUCUCUCUCUCUCUCUCUCUCCUCAGCCCACAGACCCACAGUAUGUCCCCCCACAAUAUGUUUAUAAACCCACAGUGACUCUGCAUAACCCCUCACCAAUGAUUGUCUCCCUCACACACAUACACUCAGCAUUACAUAUACAAAUGUUGCAUCUAGUACAGUGCCUACAAUAAGAAUGGACAUAAAAUCAACAAGCCUAAUUUUCUUCCAGCCUGCAUGAAUGUAGUGUGGCUCAAUAUGUACAAGUGAAGAGUAUAUUAGAUGUAUAACUCAAAAGAUAUGGAAACUUACACAAAAAUACAGGACACAAGUUGAUGAGUAUGAUGGCGAGUGUCAGUCAAAAUGCUCAACUUUGAACAACAAAAAGUGAAAAAAAAAAUCAAAGGUGAAUAAACUUGCCAACAUACAAUAAACAGACAGUGAAAAGAAUAAACACUAUAAAAAAUUAAUCCCAAAUAAAGACUGAAAAAAUAUAUACCAACACAAAAUAAUGAAAAAAUGAAGACUAAGUAAAGCAAAUUAAUCUGAAUGCUAAUAAAUAAACCAGCAUGGUAUAUUUAAAGACUAUGAUGAAAGAUAAUGAAGCUUAAACAUUGAGAGAGAGAGAGAGAGAGAGAGAGAGAGAGAGAGAGAGAGAGAGAGAGAGAGAGAGAUUCCAGGCCCCUCUGAUCCAAACCUGUGACCUUGAUGCAUCUUGGCAGUGCCUCCGACUGUGACCUGUGGUAUCCUGCAGGACCCCUAGUCAUGUCCUCUGUGCCUCUGCUUCUCAGGGACUCAACAUGUGGAGCUGGCGUCCCACACAGAGUUGAGGUGGCAGCCUCUGUGGUGUCCCAUGUCCUCACUCAUCCCUGUCUACUGUGCUUUACAUCCUGUGUUCUCCCCCAGCCACAGAGAUACAAUUGUCCUCCUGUGUGCCCAGUGUCCUUCACAGUUCCUCCUCUGCCCACAUGUACUGUACCAAGCUGCUUGUGUCCUGGGCGGCACGUGUGUCUGUCAGGGUGUGUCCAAUUCUGCACUGUGAGAACUGGUGUGCUCAUUUUCAUGCCUUCUGCUGAUGUUGUUGUGGGUGUUGACUGCAGAUUACAUCAUGUAUUGCACAGCAGUGGUUAUUAUAUGAGAUCCAAUGUAACCCCUGAAAAGUACAAAUGUACCACUGGGGGUGCGUAUACUCCAGGUUGGGAACCUCCAUUCUGGACAAUGACCUGGGAGGAAGACAAAAAGACAAUGCAGAUGUUUUCCCUAAGGACUGGCAGGGAUGUAGGGAACCUGUGGUAUUCCCUUGGGAGGGAGAUAGGAAGGAGAAAGCUUAAAAAUAGAUCAGACUGGCCACGUGAAGAUAGAGCAUGUGGAAUGCUGGACAAUGAAAUACAUGAGUGAUGAAUAUAUACACUAAUAAUUGUUAUGACUGAUGCGGCUGAUACACCUGCAAUGAAUAUAAUAGUUAUC
This is an RNA transcript of Scylla paramamosain (green mud crab), 4276 nucleotides long. It is a transcript of the gene named endoplasmic reticulum transmembrane helix translocase-like, with no coding region annotated. The transcript has 10 exons. The record is from RefSeq and is a predicted model, not a curated record. NCBI's taxonomy places the organism in Eukaryota, Metazoa, Arthropoda, Malacostraca, Decapoda, Portunidae.